Molecule: ribosomal RNA, 497 nt
Filed under: uncultured bacterium
Lineage: Bacteria
Description: partial 16S ribosomal RNA
Rfam family: Bacterial small subunit ribosomal RNA
Source: RNAcentral
GAUGAACGCUGGCGGCGUGCCUAAUACAUGCAAGUCGAGCGAACAGAUAAGGAGCUUGCUCCUUUGACGUUAGCGGCGGACGGGUGAGUAACACGUGGGUAACCUACCUAUAAGACUGGGAUAACUUCGGGAAACCGGAGCUAAUACUGGAUAAUAUUUCGAACCGCAUGGUUCGAUAGUGAAAGAUGGUUUUGCUAUCACUUAUAGAUGGACCCGCGCCGUAUUAGCUAGUUGGUAAGGUAACGGCUUACCAAGGCGACGAUAGGUAGACGACCUGAGAGACGGCUCGCCCACACUAGAACUGAGACACGGUCCAGAGGCCUACGGGAGGCACCAGUAGGGAACCUUCCGCAAUGGGCGCAAGCCUGGCGCAGCGGCCCCGCGCGAGUGAUGAAGAUCCUGGGAUCGUAAAGCUGUGUUAUUAGGGAAGAACAUACGUGUCAGGAACUGUGCACGUCUUGACGGUACCUGGUCAAGAAGCAACGGCUAACUACGUG